RNAcentral lists this ribosomal RNA (619 nucleotides) under uncultured bacterium. RNAcentral describes it as "bacterial SSU rRNA". It matches the Rfam family "Bacterial small subunit ribosomal RNA", at positions 338 to 950 of the family's 1533-position model. The record is from RNAcentral.
CCUACGGGAGGCAGCAGUAGGGAAUCUUCCACAAUGGGCGAAAGCCUGAUGGAGCAACGCCGCGUGAGUGAUGAAGGCCUUCGGGUUGUAAAACUCUGUCAUUCGGGACGAACCGGAGUCUGAGGAAAUGCAGACUCUCUGACGGUACCGGAGGAGGAAGCCCCGGCUAACUACGUGCCAGCAGCCGCGGUAAUACGUAGGGGGCAAGCGUUGUCCGGAUUCACUGGGCGUAAAGCGCGCGCAGGCGGUGAUGUAAGUCUGAGGUGAAAACCCGAAGCUCAACUUCGGGACUGCCUUGGAUACUGCGUCACUUGAGGAUAGGAGAGGCAAGGGGAAUUCCACGUGUAGCGGUGAAAUGCGUAGAGAUGUGGAGGAACACCUGUGGCGAAGGCGCCUUGCUGGCCUAUUUCUGACGCUGAGGCGCGAAAGCGUGGGGAGCAAACAGGAUUAGAUACCCUGGUAGUCCACGCUGUAAACGAUGAGUGCUAGGUGUAGGUGGGCUCAUACCCAUCUGUGCCGAAGCUAACGCAUUAAGCACUCCGCCUGGGGAGUACGGUCGCAAGACUGAAACUCAAAGGAAUUGACGGCUUGAGACGNGCGAGGCGACACGAGGGAGGAG